GGCGGGGUAGCUCAGCUGGUUAGAGCGUACGACUCAUAAUCGUAAGGUCAAGAGUUCGAGUCUCUUCCUCGCUA
Bifidobacterium subtile is the source of this 74-nucleotide transfer RNA. It matches the Rfam family "tRNA". From Rfam's summary of the family: Transfer RNA (tRNA) molecules are approximately 80 nucleotides in length. Their secondary structure includes four short double-helical elements and three loops (D, anti-codon, and T loops). The record is from Rfam. NCBI's taxonomy places the organism in Bacteria, Bacillati, Actinomycetota, Actinomycetes, Bifidobacteriales, Bifidobacteriaceae.